UGCAGCAGAAGACGGUGCGAAACGGGAAGCAUUCGGACCCAAGAAGACGGAAGGAAUGAGACAUAUCCAAGUCCAGGUGUGAGGAGCCAGCUGAAACGGGGGAGUUUCCCCAAGACCCUUCAGGGAGGAGCCAGAAGGAGCUUCAGCACGGACUGGUUCAAAACUCAUUCAUGGCUUGAGUACUCACAGUCCAAAGACUCCGCAUAUUCUUUCCCCUGUAGAUAUUUCUCUUUACCUGAUGCCCCCAAGACUGUUUUCACCUCAAUUGACGGGUAUCGUAACUGGAAAAAGGCCACAAUGAAAGACAGUGGUUUCUGUUCUCAUGCCCGAUCUGAAAGCCAUGUAAAUGCAAUGUUUGCAUGGGCAGAAAACAAGCGAAUGAGUGACAAAAAUACCCCAAUGAUGGGAAUAAUGGAUGAGCAAAAUAAGAAAAAGGUGAUUGAAAAUCAAAACUACAUUAAAACACUAGCUGAAAUUCU
Eleginops maclovinus (Patagonian blennie) is the source of this 479-nucleotide long non-coding RNA. RefSeq lists it as uncharacterized. The transcript is spliced from 2 exons. NCBI's taxonomy places the organism in Eukaryota, Metazoa, Chordata, Actinopteri, Perciformes, Eleginopidae. The record is from RefSeq and is a predicted model, not a curated record.